This 260-nucleotide ribosomal RNA is filed under the name uncultured Bacillota bacterium. RNAcentral's name for it is "uncultured Firmicutes bacterium partial 16S ribosomal RNA". It matches the Rfam family "Bacterial small subunit ribosomal RNA", at positions 338 to 590 of the family's 1533-position model. The record is from RNAcentral. Lineage: Bacteria; Bacillati; Bacillota.
CCUACGGGCGGCAGCAGUAGGGAAUCUUCCACAAUGGACGAAAGUCUGAUGGAGCAACGCCGCGUGAGUGAAGAAGGGUUUCGGCUCGUAAAACUCUGUUGUUAAAGAAGAACAUAUCUGAGAGUAACUGUUCAGGUAUUGACGGUAUUUAACCAGAAAGCCACGGCUAACUACGUGCCAGCAGCCGCGGUAAUACGUAGGUGGCAAGCGUUGUCCGGAUUUAUUGGGCGUAAAGCGAGCGCAGGCGGUUUUUUAAGUCU